UGAAUGGGGAAACCCACUUACAUAAGUAAGUAUCGUUAUGUGAAUACAUAGCAUAACGAGGCGAACCGGGGGAACUGAAACAUCUAAGUACCCCGAGGAAAAGAAAUCAACCGAGAUUCCGAAAGUAGCGGCGAGCGAAAUUGGACUAGCCCUUAAGCUUUACACGCGUUAGACGAACAGCCUGGAAAGGCCGACGAUACAGGGUGAUAGUCCCGUAGUUGACGACGUGUGUUCAGUGAAAUCGAGUAGGGCGGGACACGUGAUAUCCUGUCGAAA
Molecule: ribosomal RNA, 276 nt
Filed under: uncultured bacterium
Lineage: Bacteria
Description: partial 23S ribosomal RNA
Rfam family: Bacterial large subunit ribosomal RNA
Source: RNAcentral